RNAcentral lists this ribosomal RNA (253 nucleotides) under uncultured bacterium. RNAcentral's name for it is "partial 16S ribosomal RNA". It matches the Rfam family "Bacterial small subunit ribosomal RNA", at positions 524 to 776 of the family's 1533-position model. The record is from RNAcentral.
UACGGAGGGUGCUAGCGUUGUUCGGAUUUACUGGGCGUAAAGGGCGCGUAGGCGGCGCAACAAGUCACUUGUGAAAUCUCCGGGCUUAACCCGGAGCGGCCAAGUGAUACUGUCGUGCUAGAGUGCGGAAGGGGCUACUGGAAUUCUCGGUGUAGCGGUGAAAUGCGUAGAUAUCGAGAGGAACACCUGCGGCGAAGGCGGGUAGCUGGGCCGACACUGACGCUGAGGCGCGAAAGCCAGGGGAGCGAACGGG